CUCUGUAAUCACAAACACAACAACUAUGGUCUUGUUUAUUUCUUGUAUUUCAAUUAGAAUGUUGAAAUUUGAGAGUAACGCAUGAGCCAGAUACGCCAUUUUUGAGCUGAAAUCGUAUUUGGUUUGGGUGACAUUUUAAGAUGUUUAUUUAUUUUUCAGGUGACAUUUGUAUUGAACUGUAUUUAGUUAAUUAGAUUCGAGUAAUUUGUUUGGUGUUUUGUUCACGGCAUCUGAGGCCAAGACAUUCUUUUUUACCAUUUGAUCACGAAAAUUUUCUAAACACUUGAAUAGUUUUGAUUCCAUCCAAUACCCAAUUCUGUGUUUAGGGUAAUCAACGGUGCUGGAGGAUUGCUUCUAAAUUUAUGAAUUUAAUUAAUUUGUUACAAAAUUAAAUGGUUUGUUGAAGAAAAAUUUUAUUUGUCCCAUCAUGGUUUGGAUUUGUGGUUGCAAUUCUAGCUGCAGUAAAAUUUACAGUUGAUGCUGCUGUAAUUGUUGUAAAGGGCUAUAAAAUUGUAACAUCAGUGCCCGUAAUCUUGGUUGCAGAGUUUGAAAAAAAAGGUUCUGUUUGCUUUACGUUCUUAAUUCUUAUGGCCAAUUUUGACCUUUCAAGAAAGCCGGAGAUGUUUGCCGGACCGCAGUUCACCAACUCUCCGGUCACCAGCUGCCGUGUUUAGGAAAGGCGAAGGGAUGAGUUUACAAGAAUGAGAUUACAGCUUAGAAUUCCUGCGAUUGAAAGGGGUUUU
Non-coding RNA from Arachis ipaensis, 743 nucleotides. The record is from RefSeq and is a predicted model, not a curated record. NCBI's taxonomy places the organism in Eukaryota, Viridiplantae, Streptophyta, Magnoliopsida, Fabales, Fabaceae.